UACGUAUGUCCCAAGCGUUAUCCGGAUUUAUUGGGCGUAAAGCGAGCGCAGGCGGUUAUUUAAGUCUGAUGUGAAAGCCUACGGCUCAACCGUAGAAUUGCAUCGGAAACUGGAUGACUUGAGUGCAGUAGAGGAGAGUGGAACUCCAUGUGUAGCGGUGAAAUGCGUAGAUAUAUGGAAGAACACCAGAGGCGAAGGCGGCUCUCUGGACUGUAACUGACGCUGAGGCUCGAAAGUGUGGGUAGCAAAC
RNAcentral lists this ribosomal RNA (250 nucleotides) under uncultured bacterium. RNAcentral's name for it is "partial 16S ribosomal RNA". It matches the Rfam family "Bacterial small subunit ribosomal RNA", at positions 524 to 773 of the family's 1533-position model. The record is from RNAcentral.